GGACUACACGGGUUUCUAAUCCCGUUUGCUCCCCUGGCUUUCGCGCCUCAGCGUCAGGAGGGGCCCAGCGCGUCGCUUUCGCCACCGGCGUUCCUUCCGAUAUCUACGCAUUUCACCGCUCCACCGGAAGUUCCACACGCCCCUACCCCCCUCGAGGCGUUCGGUAUCCGGGGCCCUUUCCCGGUUGGGCCGGGAGAUUUCACCCCGGACUCGAACGCCCGCCUACGCGCCCUUUAAGCCCAGUGAAUCCGAACAACGUUCGCACGGUUCGUCUUACCGCGGCGGCUGGCAC
RNAcentral lists this ribosomal RNA (292 nucleotides) under uncultured bacterium. RNAcentral describes it as "partial 16S ribosomal RNA". The record is from RNAcentral. RNAcentral also lists the same sequence under 1 other name.